RNAcentral lists this long non-coding RNA (5681 nucleotides) under Taeniopygia guttata (zebra finch). RNAcentral's name for it is "lncRNA (ENSTGUG00000029301.1)". The record is from RNAcentral. Lineage: Eukaryota; Metazoa; Chordata; Aves; Passeriformes; Estrildidae.
AUUGCAGCUAGACAUUUCAUAAAUAGAUAAUUCUCUAAUUGAUCCAGCCAAUCCUACUUUGCAUACCCUGCCAAACUAGUCGCAGCUACAUGUGGUGGAGCCCUGCUUUCCUGGACAUGGGUGAACAUCUGCCUGCUCAUGUGAAGUGGAAUCUUCUUGUCAUGGAUCAUCCUGAGAUUCCAGCACCUGGACAAGUGGUCUAAGAAACCAUCAAAGCCUUCUUUGGACUGGCAGCCUUGAUCGCUUGGUCUUCAUAUCAGACUUACAUUUUAUCAGUCAGGAAAGAUUAUUGCUGCCUGCAUAGAUACUUGUGACUGGCCUUCCCUCCCAUCCCAAAGUAGGCGUUCAAGCUGUGACUUGUCCAGGCCAGACAGUCCCCUAUCUAAUAACAGACUGGAAUUGCAAACAAUCUUUGCUACUGUGGAAUUAAAAAAAUUUUUGAAAACAUAGGGAACUGUUCCCACCAUUAUUGUAGCUUUUGUUUAAUAACUGUAUCAUAGGGUAUUGCUUUGUAUUUGUAUUUGCUUUGUGCAAGGUUUUGUUGGCAGAGGAGGUUAGAGGGUGGCUUCUGUGAGAAGCUACUAAAAGCUUGCCCCACUGCUGGCUCCAAGGCAGACCCGCUGCUGGCCAAGAGUGAGCAGUCAGUGACAGUGGUAGUACCUCUGGGAUAAUGUAUUUAAGAAGGUGAAAAACAUUAUUGCACAGAUACAUCUGUGGCCAAAGAAGAGAGUGAGAAUAUGUAAGAACAAACCUGCAGACUUUCAAGAAGCAGAUAUUCACCUGCAGCCCACAGGAACCCCAUACUAGGGGAGGCUUCUGUAAGGACACAUGGCCCUGUGGAGAGGGGAGCACACACUGGAACAGGUUUGCUGUCAGGACUUGUGGUGUCAUAGGGGACCCAGGCUGGAGCAGCUGUUUACUGAAGAACUGCACCUCAUGGUAAAAAAGGGACCCCACACCGGGGAAAAGGAUGGACUCCUCUUCCUGAGGAGGAAGGAGCAGCAGAAACAAGAUAAAUAGAUUUUAACCCCCAUUCCCCAUCUCUCUGCACUCCUGGGUAGGAGGAGGUAGAGAAACAGUGCUAAACUUGGGCCUAGGAAGGAGGGAAGGUGAGGGGGUAAGGUAUUUAAGAUUUUUUUUUAUUAUUAUUUCUCAUUAUCCUACUCUGAUUUUGAUUGCUAAAAUUUCAAGUAACUUCCUCAGGUGUGUCUUUUUGAUUUUACCUGUGAUGCCUGGUAAUCACUAAGGGAUCUCUCUCUGUUUGUAUCUCAACUCAUCUCUCCACUGGCCAGCUGGAGGAGAGAGAGAAUGGUUUUGGUGAACUCUUGGGAUCUAGCAAAUCUCAAUCACCAUAUACCUAAAAGUUUAAGAUUUGGUCAUCAGUGUAUGAAGAACAUGGUGUCUAUGAAAAGCCCUGUCAAUUGUACGUUCAGAGCUGUCAUCUAUAUUUCUAAAGCAAUAUUAAUUUAAAAUGCAAGCUGCGCUUACUUAUCUUAAAUGUCUCAACUGGCACGAACAGUUGAUAUGACCACAGACAUGAAUGGUUGGAAGUUCCUCAUUCUUGAUAUGAGCACUUAGCUCCAGUUUAUGAUAUAUCACAUCAAGACAACAUCAAAUGUGCAGCAUCCUUCUUAUUUCCAAGCUGAGUAAACAGACAAGAAUUUAUUCCUUUAAUUAGAUAGAUAUAUAUGUAUGCAGACAUAGCUACAUACUUAGAUAUACACACAUAAGAGGAAGGCAGAAGCAGAUGCCUCUGGAGGAGGCAGCACAAUAUUUUUAGUGGUUUACCACAUCCCAGGACAAGAUGAUAUGUAAUUCAAAGCAUUGUCACAAAUCAUAGAAUUUCAUUACUAAAUAACUUCCUUUACCCCCACUAAUACACGAAACAGAUUAUUCCUAUUGUGUAGAAUAAAAGAUAUGUCAUAUGUGAAUAAUUUGAACAUUUGAAAAGUUUGAUAUUAUAAUCCUGAAGUUCAGUUUGACGAAAGUAAACACUAAACCAUUCCAAAAUCACUGUAAAGUGUAUUCACUUUUUAGGUCCCAAGUAUAGCAGUGAGUUGCAAGUCAACUUAAUUCUGUGCUGCAGAACAAAGAGUAAUUUCUGCUGAAAACUUCUCAAUGGAUAUGUAGAUGAGAGAUGAGAUGCCAUAUUGCUGAAAUAUUCAGAAGCUGAUACCCAUACCAAGAGAAAUUCUGUAAUGUAAAACAUAUCAUUGCCUUAUUUUAUUUUUUUUUUUAAUUUCUUGCUCUGGGGUUUAUCCCUCAAUAAAUUGCCUCCUUGACUGUUGGCUUCUGGAAAAUCCUUUGGUCUGCUUGGCUUCCCAGCUGCAUAGGCUAUUCCCAGUCUCUCAGACACAAAUAAAAAGAGUUGCCUGUAGCUCUACCUAGACUGAUUGGCACAUAUGGCAAUUGAUUAACUACUAGUGACAUUGGGGGACCAUCAUGAAAUACAGCCUUUUUCCUAAGUUCCUAAUGAAAUGAUGGACUCUCCCCUUCAGGGCAGAAUCAUCCAUUAGGCCCAUGUGGUCUGAGCUGAAGGCUCUGUAUCCCACGUAGCAGUGUAAUAACCUUCUUACAAAGCAGUAACAGAGACUUCUGUGUGAGACUAACAACUUAGACAAAUGUCCUGCUUUGUCUUGCUUACAAGAGCAAUUUGGAAAUGGUUGUAUUGUUGACAGCUGUCUACCUUCCUUCUAACACUUCUGCUUCUCCCCUUAAAUUUCUCAGUGCUCAAUUGUUCUGCCCACCAAAAGUGAUGUCACAAUGGGAACACUUUCUGCUUCUGUAGUAUCUUCUCUCACAAUUUUGUAUGAUGCCUUAUGAAACGCAGUGGUCCUAGCAUUGCAGUGUGCUAGCAUGCUCAGCCCAGAAAGCAGCAGAAGCAAAGAGAAAUUCACUGACUGGUUGUGCAGGCAGAAAAACUAAAUAGGGAUUCAUAAUUGAAAAUACUAGGUGGAAGUUAUUUGAAAGUGACUGCUGGAAAUUUCCACAUAUCCUCUGAGGUGUAAUUGUCACUCUGCAAGAACUCCUAGUCUCUUGCAAACUGGAUAAAAUUGGUUAUGUAAAAUUUUGAGUGUCAAUGCCUAACACAGUCAACGGAUACAUGCCAGAAACUGAAAAGAUAUGGAGGAAAGUAAGGUUAAGGAGAUCUCACACAUUAAUACAUCAGCUUAGAACUUCCAUUGAUUUGCAUCCUGUGAGAGUGAAAACCAUCUUCUUUGUAAACAACUGAGUAAGUAUUUUGAAGAUAUUCAGGAAGCCGUAUAGUGAUACAUCAGAUAAAACCAGUCUGUAAUAAUGCCAGCUUAUGUUGGUUUUCUUUGCUUUGGGUUUUUUUUGUUUGUUUUUUUUUUUUGUUUUUUUUUUUUUUUUUUAUUGAUUUUACUUUUUCUGAAGGCCUAGGAAAAGAUUUUUUUACUUCAAAUAUCUCAGGUUUUUUUUGGUUUUUUUUUUUUUUCCAGCAACAAGUGUGAUAAAAUCUCUAUUUGUCAAGUUUUUGUUCUUUAAAAAUAAGCAUCUGGCAGUGGACUAUUGAGGUCUGUUCCAUUCUCUUUUUCCAUUUGUGCUGCCUAUGUGAUCUAUGUAUUGUCUAUAUGGGAACUUCUCAAGUCUGACAAUUGAUGGACAAUAUAGUCAGAGGUUGCUGAAGUGGUGGAUUUUUCAUUCAGCAUCACUACAAGUACAGGCAACAGGAUGGACUUGCCUUCCACAUUUCUGAAUACAUUACUGUAAAGAGAAAAAGGAGUGAAGAUGUCACCACUUCCAUCCGCUGAAACCUGUAGAAUUGUGAUUAUAUUCUGAUAGUGGUACAGUAGAGGUAGAUUUCUGAAACUGGGCCUGAGAAAAGGUGAAAACAUUUGUCAGGCCUUAAUACUGCACUCUUAAAAAUGCAGGUCAGUAUUCCCUGAAUUUUUAAGGACUUCUAAUUUUUUGCAAAGUAUCCAUAACAACAAGCAGUCCUUCUGGUCCUAUCUAGUCCUGCUUUCUAUAAACUAUAUUUUCUUUGAAAAAAUGGGAAGUGGUUUGAGUACCGGGAAGAACGUUUGCAUUAAUAUGUCUAAAUGUAGUCAAGGCAGUUAUCAUUCCACAUUUUAUCUUGAAGUAUUACUGUUCUGUCAACAUAAAAACUUCUUCAAUUAAUUCAUCACCAUUUUUUUCUCUUGUUUGAAGACAAAUCUAAAUGAAAUUCAUCUUAAUUAACCCUGGCUCUUUAUAACUUAGGAAUGAAAUCUCAGCCUUUCAACAGUGACACAAAUGUCUUGUUUGCUUAGAUUCUUAGACAUUUAACUAACACCCUUAUUUCAGUCAUUUAUGCAUAUUCAAGGGCCUCUGUCAUCAUUAAAUCCUUAAAAAUUUAUCUCUUCCUUGACACUCCUAUCCUUGUAUGCCAGAGGUCAAGGCCCAUGAAACCAUCCCUGUCCCUCUGCACAUAUCCAUGUGUGCAAAUUGGACCAAGAUUUUACCCUCUAAUAAUCCAAGUUCACCUUCACAUUCAUAUAGAAAAAAUCCAAAGGCUUCCCUUCAAAAUACUGAUGUUGCUGCUGUUGGGUGUUGUCCUACUCAUAGACAGAGGGUGAUGCAGGGAAAAGUCUGAGUUAGUUAAGGAUGAUCCUGCCCUCUGCAAUUCUCAUCCCAGACUUCCCACUGUCACAAACUGGAAAUACACUCCCGGAAUAUAUAGAUGACUUUUAUUUUUUCAGUAACAUCCCACCAUACGUGGAGGCUGGGUGUAUAAGUCAGUACUUUUGUGAAUACCAACUUGUGAGCUUAUGCUGCAUUUUCCUGUUUGGUGUGCAAUUAAGACAAAAUCUUCUUCGUAACUGGGCGGAAUGUAGAGAACAUCUUGGAGGAUAUUUCCCAGAGUAGAUCUGCUUUGCUGAAAAUCAGAAAGGUAGUACACAAAUCCAUAUCAGAAUUUUUAUUCUUGCUUACUCAAAACAGUUGUAUACAUAUUGAAGGAAAUAAAAGUAUUUCUGUGAGAGUUUCCAUAGAGUUCAGUGGUGUCAAGAUUUUUCAAGUAAACAUGUAUUGCAAAAGGCAGACUUUGAGAGAUUAGCACUGCUCUGGAUACGUUAAUUUUCCUCCUAACAAGGACACCAAUCUCUUUCAAGAGUCCUAAUUGUUCCUACUCAGAAGCCAUUAAAAAUUGUAUAUUGUAUUAUAUUGAGAGUUCAUCUAAUUUAAAUGUGAAAACUUUGUAAACAUUGGUAUUAUAUUAUGUUCCAUUCAUUCAUUUGAUCCUCUAGUACAUUAGAGGGGGAAAAUAUACAUGCAUUGAAUUCUUGAGAUUUUAUUUUAAGGGCUGCUUUAAUGAAUUCUUAAUUACAUUAUUCAAAAGGUCCAUUAUUCAGCAUUCAUCUCACUUCUAAAUGAAAGUCUUUACCUGACAUGUGAAUGAAAUGAGUCUAAAUGCUUUCCAUGCCACCUAGGGAUUCGUAAUAGACUUCUUGCUGAACGGCAGCAGCUGGUUUUCUUUCUGGUUUAAAUUUUUGUGGAUUAUUUGCAGAGAUGGACAGGUAUGAAAUAUUCGUCUUUCCCAAGCAUCAGUAAACCCUCCAGUCUCACCAGAUGUAAUGCAGCCCCAGUGCUUGAGACAGAUGAAAGAGAUAAAAUCUGGAGAGAAAAAUAUUUAUAACAUUUCUAAGGUUUUCAAAUAUACUGUAUAGUUCUCAACAAUUCUA